This 2452-nucleotide long non-coding RNA is filed under the name Lytechinus variegatus (green sea urchin). RNAcentral's name for it is "uncharacterized LOC121425861". The record is from RNAcentral. Lineage: Eukaryota; Metazoa; Echinodermata; Echinoidea; Temnopleuroida; Toxopneustidae.
ACAGGGGCGAUGAACAAAUCUUUGGCGAAUGUUGUGGCAUUUGGCGCUGACACGACCAACUCUCUCUGUCUGUCCCCAACAGUUUAUUUAUUUCGCAAGAAUUCCGUGGAGGAAACAUUUUUUUCCAUGUUUGAAGUCUUGCUUGGUGAUGGAAUGAGUCAUUUUCUGAAGCAAUGAGAUGGAAGGAACCUUCAUAGCAUCCAACAAACAAGGAUUUCUAUGAGGCAUUGUGUUUUCCACAUAACAGACCUCUGUAUCACCAACUUAAAUGAGCCUCCACCUGUCCACCAUGAUCUCCCCCAAACUUAAUCCACACCUCUUCUUCAGGAAUUGUCCCAUCGUGAGUUGUGAGAAAUCCAUUCCUGUGGAAAGAUGAUGGAACAUGAACAUAUGGUCUGUGACUCUGCUCUGGACCUAGUGAAUCACUGUUGACUGUCCAUGGUUCAAGUGAGGAUUGGCAAACCUGGUCAUUUCUUGAUUACCUACAGAAUGCAAUUGCAACAUAUGCAAAAUCUUAUGCAGGAAUGGGGCUAUAGCAGUGAUGGGACACUACCUUUGACUGUGAAGAUCAGACGAUGCAAUUCCUGUUGGUCAGCCCCCCCCCCCCCCCCACCCCAAGGAGCCAUGCACUGCCAGAGAUCUUGAGCCAGGUCUUCAGUGGUUAUCCAUUGAUAAGAAGAACGGAGAUAAUAAAGACAGUGAGGUAUCUUGUUGAUUUCGACGUGACCAUCUUCCUGACGCUUCUUCCAAACAAUGAAACUGGAGGCUCUUUCCACGAAUGAAUGUUUAGCUGCUUCAAGUGUGAUUCCAGCUUUUUCAAGAGCUUCUUGUUGUUCUACUUCUACUGGCCUUUAUUGUAGUUAACAUGUCCUGUGAAUGUUUUUAGGAGGCCAGUUAUGCUACAAACACAGUAAACCUCAAGUUCACAUAUAGUUAAAAAACAGGGACUACUUGUAACAUAAUCUAGGAAAAAGUUCUACAAAUUGGACAUGGUGAAACUUUUCAUUCAUUAUGUUUUCAGUAUUUACUGAGGUACUCACUACAAAAGGAAGUUGGGGUCAAAAGGUCAAGUUUUUGUUCAACUUGGUCACAUUCCUUUAUUUCUGCAUCAAUUAUGUUCACACUUCAUCUGAUCCCUGGGUAAUACAUGUACUUUCAUUAGGAUAAUGGGUCAAAGGCCUAAUGUUAAUAAUCAACUGCCUAAUGUUAAUAAUCAACUGAAAAUUACUUAGUCAGAAAAGGUGGUUUAUUGGAUUCCCUAUCUUUUGCUUGUAAUUAUUAUUUUUUUCAAAUUUAGUAUUUCUCCAUCAAAUCUGACAAAUUCAUUAUUUUUUUAUCAAUAAUUAUUAAACGAUGUCAGUAAUAACAGUUUUGAGAAACAUGUGCAAGUAUAUGUACCAAUAUCCAUGUGCAGAAUAUUUGCUGGAAGGUUAAAUGCUACAGUGAAAUUUUAAAGUGCGCAACCAUAGGAUACGGGAAAAAGUUCUUGCAGCCUUUGAUGUACUUUUAAAGAUCAAGAUAGAAUUCACCCAAAACAUCUAUUAGGUGUUAGUAGCUGAAAAUAUCCUAGAUUAGUUCAGAACUAUUCAUCUGGAAGAAGAGACAAGUCAAAGCAUUUUAAACAAUUUCAAAACUUACUUGCGCUAUAUUUGUUUUUAAUUGAUAUGCAGUUAGAAUUGAUCAAAUUCUGAUUGCAAGCUGACAAAUUAUAUAUAUAUUUUGUGCCCGCCUUAGCAACACUCUUGUUCGAUUUGAAGUGUAUUGAUUAAGAAGUUAUAACAUGUAACAGUCUGUUAAAAUUCUUGGUGUAAUCGUCCAAUCCAAUCUAAAAUGGGACCUACAUAUCAUGGAAAUCAUCAAAAAAUGUAACAGGAAGUUGUACAUGUUUAGGCUUUCGAAGCAAUAUGGGCUGUCUCUAUCGGAUCUGAAAUUGGUAUACAUGGGCUACAUUCGUCCUGUUAUGGAAUAUUGCACCCCAGUUUUUAAUGGUGGGCUUACAAAGAAAUAUGUAAGAAGUUUAGAGCAAAUUAAAAAAAGAGCUUGUAGAAUCAUGUUGGGCCCAAACUACCCGGGCAAACUACACAGAUUAUGCCAGUGCUUGCCUAUCAUGUGAAAUUCCUACUCUGGAAUACAGAAGGGAGAAACUCGGCCUGGAUUUCGCAAUAUCUGUAACCAAAUAUCCAACAUUCAGUACCUGGUUACCUCCUCCAAAAAACUUACCCAUCAAUCUCCGACAUACUCCUAGAUAUCAGCAAUACAAAUGUAGGACAAAUCGAUUUCGCAGUAGCCCCAUACCAUAUUUCAUAGAUCUCCUGAAUAAAGACAUGCCCAAUCAAUAAACCCAUUGCUCAUUUGAAAGCAAUACCAGCCUACUUGCAAUAUCAAGUUUUUUAAUGAAUGAGGAAAUCAACUUUUUAAUAUCCAUAUAUUUUUAUUGAUCUUUUACAAACGU